GUGGGGAAUCUUGCGCAAUGGGCGAAAGCCUGACGCAGCCAUGCCACGUGAAUGAUGACGGUCUUAGGAUUGUAAAAUUCUUUCACCGGGGACGAUAAUGACGGUACCCGGAGAAGAAGCCCCGGCUAACUUCGUGCCAGCAGCCGCGGUAAUACGAAGGGGGCUAGCGUUGCUCGGAAUUACUGGGCGUAAAGGGCGCGUAGGCGGACAGUUUAGUCAGAGGUGAAAGCCCAGGGCUCAACCUUGGAAUUGCCUUUGAUACUGGCUGUCUUGAGUACGGGAGAGGUGAGUGGAACUCCGAGUGUAGAGGUGAAAUUCGUAGAUAUUCGGAAGAACACCAGUGGCGAAGGCGACUCACUGGCCCGUUACUGACGCUGAGGCGCGAAAGCGUGGGGAGCAAACAGGAUUAGAUACCCGAGUAGUCC
RNAcentral lists this ribosomal RNA (425 nucleotides) under uncultured bacterium. RNAcentral describes it as "partial 16S ribosomal RNA". It matches the Rfam family "Bacterial small subunit ribosomal RNA", at positions 354 to 796 of the family's 1533-position model. The record is from RNAcentral.